GACGAACGCUGGCGGCGUGCUUAACACAUGCAAGUCGAACGGAAAGGCCCUGCUUUUGUGGGGUGCUCGAGUGGCGAACGGGUGAGUAACACGUGAGUAACCUGCCCUUGACUUUGGGAUAACUUCAGGAAACUGGGGCUAAUACCGGAUAGGAGCUCCUGCUGCAUGGUGGGGGUUGGAAAGUUUCGGCGGUUGGGGAUGGACUCGCGGCUUAUCAGCUUGUUGGUGGGGUAGUGGCUUACCAAGGCUUUGACGGGUAGCCGGCCUGAGAGGGUGACCGGCCACAUUGGGACUGAGAUUCGGCCCAGACUCCUACGGGAGGCAGCAGUGGAGAAUAUUGCACAAUGGGCGGAAGCCUGUUGCAGCAACGCCGCGUGCGGGAUGACGGCCUUCGGGUUGUAAACCGCUUUCGCCUGUGACGAAGCGUGAGUGACGGUAAUGGGUAAAGAAGCACCGGCUAACUACGUG
RNAcentral lists this ribosomal RNA (468 nucleotides) under uncultured bacterium. RNAcentral describes it as "partial 16S ribosomal RNA". It matches the Rfam family "Bacterial small subunit ribosomal RNA", at positions 28 to 507 of the family's 1533-position model. The record is from RNAcentral.